UAAGUCAGCUGGGCAAUCGCGCGUGCGGUGAUACCGCAUCCGAGGAACGUCCGGGCUCCAUAGGGCACGGUGGUGGGUAACGCCCACCCGGGGUGACCCGCGGGAAAGCGCAACAGAGAGUAGACCGCCAGGCGCAGUAGCGCAAGGUAAGGGUGAAACGGUGGUGUAAGAGACCACCGCGGGCAUGGUGACAUGACUGGCACGGCAAGCCCCACCGGGAGCAAGAUCAGAUAGUGCGCGUUUGUAGGUGACCCGCCGAGCGCACGGGUGGAUUGCUAGAGCCUGCUGGUAACAGUAGGCGUAGAUGGAUGAUUGCCGCCGUGGGCGCAACAGCGCUCGCGGAACAGAACCCGGCGUACAGGCUGACUUAUUCG
Molecule: RNase P RNA, 374 nt
Filed under: Actinotignum urinale
Lineage: Bacteria; Bacillati; Actinomycetota; Actinomycetes; Actinomycetales; Actinomycetaceae
Description: RNase P RNA component class A
Rfam family: Bacterial RNase P class A
About the family: Ribonuclease P (RNase P) is a ubiquitous endoribonuclease, found in archaea, bacteria and eukarya as well as chloroplasts and mitochondria. Its best characterised activity is the generation of mature 5'-ends of tRNAs by cleaving the 5'-leader elements of precursor-tRNAs.
Source: RNAcentral